RNAcentral lists this unclassified non-coding RNA (313 nucleotides) under Hevea brasiliensis (rubber tree). The record is from RNAcentral. Lineage: Eukaryota; Viridiplantae; Streptophyta; Magnoliopsida; Malpighiales; Euphorbiaceae.
GAACGAACGGCACUCCAGGAGGCCAUCCAAUCUCCAUUCUUGUGCUGGCACAAGGGCUAUCUAAUGUGUGAAUGUGACUCUCACAAUCCUUCAGAUUACAGAACCUCAAUUUGAUACCCUUCUUAUCUGCAAUAUCCUGUACUUUCUCCUUCAGAACUCUCUGUGCCUCAAGCCGUAAUCUCUUAGAAGGGGGUAGAGGUUUGGUACUUGAAUUAUUCUUUCUCCUCCGCAUUUUUAUGGAUCCAUCUUGCGAUGUAGAGAAACUGAAAUUCUGGAAAUUUGGGCGGUUAAAGAGUUCGUCAGUUGAGUGUGA